CAGAUCCAGAAAUAGCAUCUGCUACUCCAGGGAAGAAAACUAGCUUGCUUUCAUAGUCACUGGGAGGCCCAUAAAUCUACUCCCAAAAAAAAAGAGUUUUUAAGAAAAUAAUAACAAUAAAGAAUUACCAGUACAAUGAAUCAGCUCCAAUGAGUAAAAGGAAAAGGAAAUCACUUACAAGAUGCUUAAACCACUGCCUUCCUUCAAGCCCCUCUGAAUCCAAGAACCCUCUUUCAGCAAGCAUCAGCCGAUCAUUCAAUGCUCGCUUUUGCAACACUACAGAAUCAUCACUUGAUUCUUGCUCUCUCAGUAUCUGCUCUUCAAAACAAGAAAUGCCUUACAAUUUAGUUUCUUCUUUUCUUUAAAUACAGGCAGGAAACAAAAAGUAAAAAAAUAAAAAUCAGAAAACCAAGCAAGAGGGAGAUUUUGCAUAGGAGAUUUAUAGUUAGUUUCACCCCAGUAUUUCAAAUGCCCAAAAAAGAUUAUUGGUUUACCUUUGCCUCAGCCUGAGCUGCUUUUGCUGCAAAGGUAAGUUCUUCAAUUGAUGCUACCAAAGGAUGAAUAGAUACACUACCAUCCAACAGGUUGCGCAAGACAUCUGUAUACUCCUGCCCAUAAAAAGAAAUUACAAGUUCAAUAUUUACUCCGUACAAAUAAAUAAAGACAUUUCUAAAGUUC
Molecule: long non-coding RNA, 678 nt
Organism: Carya illinoinensis
Lineage: Eukaryota; Viridiplantae; Streptophyta; Magnoliopsida; Fagales; Juglandaceae
Exons: 2
Source: RefSeq, a predicted model, not a curated record